AGAGAUAGAGCGAUGAUAGAUAAAAAGCCUUCUGAACUCUUGUUUGGAUACAGCAAGUCGUCUAGGCCCUGAUGCAGUAUAUUAUAAUUAUGAUGGUUUUACUCGCAUAUCUUUUGAUAUGACUGGGAUGAAACAGAUCUAAUAAUGUGUCACCUGCAAAAUAAAAAGCUCUCUCUUAUAAUAAAGAGGCCAAUCCUCCAAUGAUCUCUCGUUAAGAGAGAUGAAGAUGAAGUGCAAAGAAAAGACAUACAAACUAGGAAGACAAUGGAUCCCCAUGGACACAUGUCUGAUGUUCAAGGAUGAUGUAGGCAUUCGACUGUGCACAUGUGAGGGAUCUAGGACCCGCGUCGACCUCGACAACCAAGUGGUGAUCCGACCGAUGACUUGAGCAUGUGGAUUCAUUUAAUGUAAAUACUAUUUGCCAUGGAUUGGUGGGAGUUGGUGGGCUGUAUGCUGGAGAUCCUACAAGGAUGCCUCCUUUCGGCUGGGCAGAGCCACCACGCACGAAGCGAUUCCCUUCACCUUAUCUUAUCCCGAUCGGGUCUAAUCGGAUGACGAGGGAGAGCAUCUGCCCUACCUCCCUGUCCACGUUC
RNAcentral lists this long non-coding RNA (593 nucleotides) under Populus tremula. RNAcentral describes it as "long non-coding RNA (PTRE_LNC001533)". Lineage: Eukaryota; Viridiplantae; Streptophyta; Magnoliopsida; Malpighiales; Salicaceae. The record is from RNAcentral.